RNAcentral lists this ribosomal RNA (518 nucleotides) under uncultured bacterium. RNAcentral describes it as "bacterial SSU rRNA". It matches the Rfam family "Bacterial small subunit ribosomal RNA", at positions 992 to 1509 of the family's 1533-position model. The record is from RNAcentral.
AGAACUUAGCAGAGAUGCUUUGGUGCCUUCGGGAACGUCUGAGACAGGUGCUGCAUGGCUGUCGUCAGCUCGUGUUGUGAAAUGUUGGGUUAAGUCCCGCAACGAGCGCAACCCUUAUCCUUUGUUGCCAGCGGUCCGGCCGGGAACUCAAAGGAGACUGCCAGUGAUAAACUGGAGGAAGGUGGGGAUGACGUCAAGUCAUCAUGGCCCUUACGAGUAGGGCUACACACGUGCUACAAUGGCGCAUACAAAGAGAAGCGACCUCGCGAGAGCAAGCGGACCUCAUAAAGUGCGUCGUAGUCCGGAUUGGAGUCUGCAACUCGACUCCAUGAAGUCGGAAUCGCUAGUAAUCGUGGAUCAGAAUGCCACGGUGAAUACGUUCCCGGGCCUUGUACACACCGCCCGUCACACCAUGGGAGUGGGUUGCAAAAGAAGUAGGUAGCUUAACCUUCGGGAGGGCGCUUACCACUUUGUGAUUCAUGACUGGGGUGAAGUCGUAACAAGGUAAGCGUAGUGCU